AUGAGCAGUGAUUGGUUUGAUAUUCAGACAUUAAAAACCUUCAAACCAUCAUUUGACAGCGAGGUCGUGACUCCUAUUGUUCAUUCAGCUCCACAACAAACGCAACACAAACAGAGAAACACAGGAGGUUACCUUAGUCGUGGCGAUGCUGUUGACAAAGCUGACUUGCUGGAAACCCUUCUCGCUCAUGGUGAGGCAAACCUCCCAGCGCUCAUUGACCGCCUCGUGGAUCACAGUGAGGGUCAUCAGAGCCACAGUAUCUUUGUCCAGGGUGCUCAUCUUGAAUUUGCUCAAAUCUGGCUUGAAGGUGAUGCAAGUGAACUCCUCUCCAUCAAAGGCUUUGAUGUUCGUAUCUCCUGCUCUCCCCAUGUUGUCGUACCACGUCUAUGGACAACACAGAAUAAGAGACUUUAUAAAAUGUUACCAAACAUCAGUAAGUAGACUAAUCUUCCUUCUUACCUGUUUGAACGUUUUCCUGGACUCCUUACAGGCAGUCUCUACGGUAAACUUUGUACUGAAGAUGUUGCACAGCUUGGCACCGUAACCAUUUCGUCCACCUGAAGAAUACAUUUUCAAUUAAGGACAUCCAGUCAAAUGCUUGACUUUCCAAAAGUUGUGUUCAACCAUAAAUAAUAAAUGCUUUACCUGUGACUUUCUUCUGCUCAUCGUCAUAGUUACUGGAAGUUAGGAGCUGUCCAAAGAUGAGAGCAGGAACGUAGACCUUCUCCACCUUGUGCUCCACCACGGGAAUCCCUUUCCCGUUAUUCCAUACGCUGAUGGUGUUGUUUUCCCUAAGCAAAAAACACAAAUGUUACAGUGCAGCUAACAUCACAAAAGCACAUGCUUUGCAUCCAAACCAGAGGUGCAGAAUUCAAAUUUGGCUUACACAUCAAUGUUGACUUUGAUGCAAGACAUGCUUUUGUCCCGCUGCUUGUUGUCAGCUGCAUUCACUUUAGUAAAAUGAAAGAAAAAGUAUUUUUAAUGAGAUCAAUAAAAACCUUAUCAAAACUUUAGAUCAACCAAAUAUGUUAGAAGGAUUUCCUCACCAAGAAUCUCAUCAAAUAUCUUGUAAAGUCCAGGCACAAACGUCACAUCCCGACAGUUCAGUCCAACAUCCACAUCGUACACCCACAUUUGCUGAUGGGGAAAUAGACAGUGAGCUAAUUAUAUAUAUAUGAAAACACAAUUUUUCCCACCAACUAAAAAUCAAAUUUGGUGUUGGAAAUUAUUGAAGAAUUUUCGAUAUUUCUAUUUAUUUCUGUGAAUUAAAGAUGCAUCAUUUUAACUUACCGCACAUAAUUAAUUUAGUCCACAUAUUUAUUUCAUUGAAGCAUUUGAUGGCUUUGAUUGUUUAUAAUUUGUACUUUUUAUCUUUUAAUUCAUAGGAUCUCCUUUCAAAUAGCAGCAUUUCCUUCAAUUUUUAUGUUCAUUUUUUUUUUGCCGUUACUUUUAGUCUAUUUCAUUUUAUGGUUUUAACUUUAUUGUAUAUAGAGUUCUUUAUGUAUGAUGAUAAAAAAAGGUGCUCCACAGAUAAAGUGAUAGAUUGAUAUUAGAUUAAAAUAUAAAAAGACUAUUUACUCACCUGGGUGACGGGCUCAACAGAACCAAUGUAAGAGUCGGGUCUGAGCAAAAUGUGCUCCAACUGGGUCUUUUUCUGAUAGAUCCUCUCCACUGAAAGACGUUUAGGGUCUUUCUUUGUCUUCUCCAGAGGCUUGUUUUCAUAAAGGGCCUAAAAGAAAUAAAAAAAACAGUUGUUAAUGCUUGACUUUUGUAGUUAAAUCACCUAAACUGAUUAUUUUUAGUGGAAUAAUAAACAGGUAAGAACCCCAAACAGCUUUACUACACGUUAACUCUAAAUAUUUG
Long non-coding RNA from Oryzias sinensis (Chinese medaka), 1863 nucleotides. The record is from Ensembl. NCBI's taxonomy places the organism in Eukaryota, Metazoa, Chordata, Actinopteri, Beloniformes, Adrianichthyidae.